This 2909-nucleotide ribosomal RNA is filed under the name Pseudoalteromonas piscicida. Its description in RNAcentral is "bacterial LSU rRNA". It matches the Rfam family "Bacterial large subunit ribosomal RNA". The record is from RNAcentral. Lineage: Bacteria; Pseudomonadati; Pseudomonadota; Gammaproteobacteria; Alteromonadales; Pseudoalteromonadaceae.
GUUGUAUGGUUAAGUGACUAAGCGUACACGGUGGAUGCCUUGGCAGUUGGAGGCGAUGAAGGACGUACUAACUUGCGAUAAGCCUAGUCAAGCCAGUAAGAGGCGCUUGAGACUAGGAUUUCCGAAUGGGGAAACCCACCUGCUUGCAGGUAUCGUUAACUGAAUACAUAGGUUAACGAGGCGAACGCGGAGAACUGAAACAUCUAAGUACCCGUAGGAAAAGAAAUCAACCGAGAUUCCGAAAGUAGCGGCGAGCGAAAUCGGACCAGCCCUUAAGCUUUAGUGUAGUUAGUGGAACAUGCUGGAAAGCAUGACGAAACAGGGUGAUAGUCCCGUACACAAAAACUUAUCUAAAGUGAAAUCGAGUAGGUCGGAGCACGUGAAACUUUGACUGAAUAUGGGGGGACCAUCCUCCAAGGCUAAAUACUCCCAACUGACCGAUAGUGAACCAGUACCGUGAGGGAAAGGCGAAAAGAACCCCUGUGAGGGGAGUGAAAUAGAACCUGAAACCGUGUACGUACAAGCAGUAGGAGCCUACUUGUUGGGUGACUGCGUACCUUUUGUAUAAUGGGUCAGCGACUUAUAUUCUGUAGCGAGGUUAACCAUUUAGGGGAGCCGUAGCGAAAGCGAGUCUUAACUGGGCGCUUAAGUUGCAGGGUAUAGACCCGAAACCCGGUGAUCUAGCCAUGGGCAGGUUGAAGGUUGAGUAACAUCAACUGGAGGACCGAACCCACUAACGUUGAAAAGUUAGGGGAUGACCUGUGGCUAGGAGUGAAAGGCUAAUCAAACCGGGAGAUAGCUGGUUCUCCCCGAAAUCUAUUUAGGUAGAGCCUCGGACGAAUACUUACGGGGGUAGAGCACUGUUAAGGCUAGGGGGUCAUCCCGACUUACCAACCCUUUGCAAACUCCGAAUACCGUAAAGUAAUAUCCGGGAGACACACGGCGGGUGCUAACGUCCGUCGUGGAGAGGGAAACAACCCAGACCGUCAGCUAAGGUCCCAAAGUGUAUGUUAAGUGGGAAACGAUGUGGGAAGGCUAAAACAGCUAGGAGGUUGGCUUAGAAGCAGCCACCCUUUAAAGAAAGCGUAAUAGCUCACUAGUCGAGUCGGCCUGCGCGGAAGAUGUAACGGGGCUAAACAUACCACCGAAGCUACGGCUGCAGACUUUGUCUGCGGGGUAGGGGAGCGUUCUGUAAGUGGCUGAAGGUGUGCCGGGAGGCAUGCUGGACAUAUCAGAAGUGCGAAUGCUGACAUGAGUAACGACAAGAGGAGUGAAAAACUCCUCCGCCGGAAGACCAAGGGUUCCUAUCCCAUGUUAAUCAGGGUAGGGUGAGUCGACCCCUAAGGCGAGGCUGAAGAGCGUAGUCGAUGGGAAACGGGUUAAUAUUCCCGUACUCGGUAUGAAUGCGAUGGGGGGACGGAGCAGGCUAGGCAAGCAUGGCGUUGGUUGUCCAUGUGAAAGGCUGUAGGCUGGUGACUUAGGAAAAUCCGGGUUGCUAAGGCUGAGAGUCGAGACGAGCCACUAAGGUGGUGAAGUUGUUGAUGCCCUACUUCCAGGAAAAGCCUCUAAGCUUCAGUUCAUACUGAAUCGUACCCUAAACCGACACAGGUGGUCAGGUAGAGAAUACUAAGGCGCUUGAGAGAACUCGGGUGAAGGAACUAGGCAAAAUUGUACCGUAACUUCGGGAGAAGGUACGCUCUUGUUUGUGAAGGACUUGCUCUGUAAGCAAACGAGAGCCGCAGUGACCAGGUGGCUGGGACUGUUUAUUAAAAACACAGCACUGUGCAAAAUCGUAAGAUGACGUAUACGGUGUGACACCUGCCCGGUGCCGGAAGGUUAAUUGAUGGGGUUAGCUUAGGCGAAGCUCUUGAUCGAAGCCCCGGUAAACGGCGGCCGUAACUAUAACGGUCCUAAGGUAGCGAAAUUCCUUGUCGGGUAAGUUCCGACCUGCACGAAUGGUGUAACCAUGGCCACGCUGUCUCCACCCGAGACUCAGUGAAAUUGAAAUCGCAGUGAAGAUGCUGUGUACCCGCGGCUAGACGGAAAGACCCCGUGAACCUUUACUACAGCUUGGCACUGAACAUUGACCCUACAUGUGUAGGAUAGGUGGGAGGCUUUGAAGCAGAGACGCUAGUUUCUGUGGAGCCGACCUUGAAAUACCACCCUUGUAGUGUUGAUGUUCUAACUUAGGCCCCUGAAUCGGGGUUGAGGACAGUGCCUGGUGGGUAGUUUGACUGGGGCGGUCUCCUCCCAAAGAGUAACGGAGGAGCACGAAGGUUUGCUAAGUACGGUCGGACAUCGUACGGUUAGUGUAAUGGUAGAAGCAAGCUUAACUGCGAGACAGACACGUCGAGCAGGUACGAAAGUAGGUCAUAGUGAUCCGGUGGUUCUGAAUGGAAGGGCCAUCGCUCAACGGAUAAAAGGUACUCCGGGGAUAACAGGCUGAUACCGCCCAAGAGUUCAUAUCGACGGCGGUGUUUGGCACCUCGAUGUCGGCUCAUCACAUCCUGGGGCUGAAGUCGGUCCCAAGGGUAUGGCUGUUCGCCAUUUAAAGUGGUACGCGAGCUGGGUUUAGAACGUCGUGAGACAGUUCGGUCCCUAUCUGCCGUGGGCGUUUGAGAAUUGAGAGGGGCUGCUCCUAGUACGAGAGGACCGGAGUGGACGAACCGCUGGUGUUCGGGUUGUGAUGCCAAUUGCAUUGCCCGGUAGCUACGUUCGGAACUGAUAACCGCUGAAAGCAUCUAAGCGGGAAGCAGGCCUCGAGAUGAGUUCUCACUUUGACUUAGAGUCAACUGAAGGGCCGUUGAAGACUACAACGUUGAUAGGCGAGAUGUGGAAGUGCUGUGAGGCAUUAAGCUAACUCGUACUAAUUACCCGUGAGGCUUAACCAUACAACGCCAAAGUGGUUU